Molecule: long non-coding RNA, 420 nt
Organism: Lolium rigidum
Lineage: Eukaryota; Viridiplantae; Streptophyta; Magnoliopsida; Poales; Poaceae
Exons: 2
Source: RefSeq, a predicted model, not a curated record
AGUUGUCCGUGGCAUCUGCAAUUUGUGAGAAAUCAUACAAGGCGAACUCAGAACCGGUAUCUUCCAUCUUCCAAAGCCUCAGGAUUUCAUCUAUGUUCUUGGGCUGCUCUGUGGAGUUUAUUUUCCCUGAAUGUACAUCUCUCCAUCAGUUUUACAGGAAACUGGAUUAACUGGACACAGAAAAGCAAACGCGUACUGAGGAUCAGGAGGGAGUACACUGUACCAAUGAUCAAUAGUGCAUGGCCCUUGUGUUGCCCUGAAUAUUGUAAGAGAGAUGAUUCAUAUGUCAAAAGAAAGUAUAGGCUUACUAAGUGGAAUAUUAUCUGUUGGCCAAAAGAUCAAGGGGGACUUGGAAUUGAAGUUCUUGAUAUUAAAAAUAGGUGCCUUCUAAGUAAAUGGUUGUUUAAGCUUAUGAAUGAA